GCAGCGGGCUGGCUCCUGGACAGCUACAAUCUUAGCCUGUUUUCUGCAGCUAUGAUGAAUACCGAAGGGAAUGUCAGAAAAUAAAAGAAGCAAUGGUUGCAGAAUGAGCAGACCCAGGGCAUCCAUACCUUGUAUGCAGCCUUCAUUGAUUCAUUAGUCAGGGAACUAGAUGGGUACCAAAGUGUCUUGACCAAUUUAGGCACUCAGUCUACAUUUGGAUUUAUGUAUUCAUGAAUGGAAAAAAAACCCCUGACUCUUUUAAGCCUAGAGCAGAAAAUAUUCCAAUACAGACCUUCUUACGUGGCGUACAAUCAGGAGACUCAAUUUAGUGCAAGUGCAGUGGAACAAUUUCUGAGAAACAUCAGACCUUACCACCCACAAAAUAAUGGAAAAG
RNAcentral lists this long non-coding RNA (394 nucleotides) under Heterocephalus glaber (naked mole-rat). RNAcentral describes it as "lncRNA (ENSHGLG00000042873.1)". The record is from RNAcentral. Lineage: Eukaryota; Metazoa; Chordata; Mammalia; Rodentia; Bathyergidae.